Molecule: ribosomal RNA, 467 nt
Filed under: uncultured bacterium
Lineage: Bacteria
Description: partial 16S ribosomal RNA
Rfam family: Bacterial small subunit ribosomal RNA
Source: RNAcentral
ACGCACGCUGGCGGCGUGCUUAACACCUGCAAGUCGAACGGAAAGGCCCUGCUUUUGUGGGGUGCUCGAGUGGCGAACGGGUGAGUAACACGUGAGUAACCUGCCCUUGACUUUGGGAUAACUUCAGGAAACUAGGGCUAAUACCGGAUAGGAGCUCCUGCUGCAUGGUGGGGGUUGGAAAGUUUCGGCGGUUGGGGAUGGACUCGCGGCUUAUCAGCUUGUUGGUGGGGUAGUGGCUUACCAAGGCUUUGACGGGUAGCCGGCCUGAGAGGGUGACCGGCCACAUUGGGACUGCGAUACGGCCCAGACUCCUGCGGGAGGCAGCAGUGGGGAAUAUUGCACAAUGGGCGGAAGCCUGAUGCAGCAACGCCGCGUGCGGAAUGACGGCCUUCGGGUUGUAAACCGCUUUCGCCUGUGACGAAGCGUGAGUGACGGUAAUGGGUAAAGAAGCACCGGCUAACUACGUG